RNAcentral lists this long non-coding RNA (1452 nucleotides) under Durio zibethinus. RNAcentral's name for it is "long non-coding RNA (DZIB_LNC001369)". The record is from RNAcentral. Lineage: Eukaryota; Viridiplantae; Streptophyta; Magnoliopsida; Malvales; Malvaceae.
CUAGAGCCACAUUUAUUUCUAUUUUUCUCUUUUUUUUUUUACACACCAUGCACUUGAGAAUUCAAAUCUAAUCCAAAAGAGGAAAAGAAUUUUUUUCAAAAAGGAAAACUCAAAAAAUUAAUGUUCAUUUUUCAAGAGAAACUCUUCAAGUUUAAGCUUUCAUGCCUGAUCCAAUAUGGACUUUUCAAAGGUUGUAAUGUAGGUUAAGGUUCAUGGUCGCCAAAGAAAAGGAUAAAAAGGCCCAAAACAACUAUUUAAGGGUAUUUGAAACUAAGGAUCAUUUUUCAUUGGAAGGAUACACUCUAAGGUAUAUUCUAUUUUGUGCUUUCCACCAAUUCAUUUCUUUCCCUUUUUUUUUUAUUCUUCCUUUCCUUUUUUUUUACACCCUUUCACUGAGUGGAUUCAAAACUUUUAUGAACUUUUAUACUGGGUUUGUGCCCCUAUCACAUGAGAUUCCAUUAGACAUUCUCAUUCUUAUCCUUCAAACGUAUUUCUUUUUUUUUGUUUUUUUUUUCACAAAUAUGAAAAGUGAUCCUUAGUCAGGGUUUAUUUUGAAAGAAUUCAAUCAAGCUCAAAGGGGUAACAAGAGAUAAAUUUUUAUUUUUGUGAAGAGAUAAUGAAAGAUGGCCAUUUGUCACUUCAAGCAUAAACACUUAAAUUGAAGACUACUCUUCAGGAAAAUGAACUUGGAAAAAGGUUUUUUUCUUUUUAAUCUCAAAAAAAAUUUUUUGUUUUUUUUUUUUCAAAACCUUGACUUUGUCAUAACCUUUUUUGGAUUUGCUCAAAUUUUUUAGUGCAUGAUGUCAUAACCAAUUUUUUCUUCUUUUUUUUCUCUUUUUUUGUUGUUUUUAUUUUUUUUAUGCCCCAUAGUUCACACCUAGAUUCAUUUUGCCAGUAACACGUUUCAUGAAAGAUGUCCCAUUUUAGCAAACCACCCAUAAUGAAAGUAAUUACAAAAGAAGGGUCAUAUGAAAUGGAUAAGAAAAAGAUUAUGUGGGGUAAACAUGUUUAAGGUAUCAAAUGAUCUAAGUUACUCCACAAAAAGAGAACAAAAGGGUUAAUCAUAACUCAAGUUGCCUUAGAGGUAAUGAGAUAUUUCUUUUCUGACAAAUAUACCUCAAGACAAAGGAUCGGGUUAAUUUUGGGAUAAAAAAACUGAAAUGGUAGUAUGCUUAAGUGUAUUUUGGAUUUGAAAAUUUUGGAACUGCAGCAUAAUCUUAUCAUAUUCAAUUAUCGCAUUUGAAUUCUAAAAAAAAAAGUCAUAUAGACUUGAUUUUCUAGGAACCACACAUUUGUUAAUGGCUGUUUCAUUUGUUCAUUGCCUUAGAAAAGAAUAUUGCCAACAAUAUCAGGUGAAAAUAAGGUUCACAAAUUUGAAUUUAAGGCUAUCAAGGGGUCAUGACUGAUGAAAUGGGGUCAACUGAAUGAGCAAAUUGGCAUUUAGGUAUUUGG